RNAcentral lists this long non-coding RNA (280 nucleotides) under Bos taurus (domestic cattle). RNAcentral's name for it is "long non-coding RNA NONBTAT016048". The record is from RNAcentral. Lineage: Eukaryota; Metazoa; Chordata; Mammalia; Artiodactyla; Bovidae.
ACUGGGCACAAUGAUUCAGUCUACCACAGUUUCUCAUGAACUAAAACAUAAAGUAUGUUUUCCAUGAACUGAAAUCUACUUAUCUUGCCAAAGAAUAGUCUUAAAAAUAUGUCAUUUCCUCCAAGACAUCAUCAAUUCCAUCUUCUUUCCACAGCCUUAACCAGGAUGCUCUGGCACCUCCCACAUUAGUCUCACAUUCUAAAAUGACAGAUUAACUAAGAGACCAUCUAUUUAUUUUCCUUAUAUGUUUAAGCCAGUGUAUAGUUAACUACUCAAGUUU